Molecule: ribosomal RNA, 274 nt
Filed under: uncultured bacterium
Lineage: Bacteria
Description: partial 16S ribosomal RNA
Rfam family: Bacterial small subunit ribosomal RNA
Source: RNAcentral
AUACGGAGGGUGCAAGCGUUACUCGGAAUCACUGGGCGUAAAGCGCGCGCAGGCGGCUUGGUAAGUUGGAUGUGAAAGCCUACGGCUCAACCGUAGAACUGCAUCCAAAACUGUCAAGCUAGAGUGUGGGAGAGGAAGAUGGAAUUAGUUGUGUAGGGGUAAAAUCCGUAGAGAUAACUAGGAAUACCAAAAGCGAAGGCAAUCUUCUGGAACACUACUGACGCUGAGGCGCGAAGGCGUGGGGAGCAAACAGGAUUAGAAACCCCAGUAGUCC